CAGCAGCCGCGGUAAUACGUAGGGUGCGAGCGUUAAUCGGAAUUACUGGGCGUAAAGGGCUCGCAGGCGGUUUCUUAAGUCUGAUGUGAAAGCCCCCGGCUCAACCGGGGAGGGUCAUUGGAAACUGGGAAACUUGAGUGCAGAAGAGGAGAGUGGAAUUUCCAGUGUAGAGGUGAAAUUCGUAGAUAUUGGAAAGAACACCGGUGGCGAAGGCGGCGACCUGGUCUUUAACUGACGCUGAGGCGCGAAAGCGUGGGGAGCAAACAGGAUUAGAUACCCGAGUAGUCCCUGUCUCUUAUAC
This 301-nucleotide ribosomal RNA is filed under the name uncultured bacterium. RNAcentral's name for it is "partial 16S ribosomal RNA". It matches the Rfam family "Bacterial small subunit ribosomal RNA", at positions 509 to 807 of the family's 1533-position model. The record is from RNAcentral.